GUGCUCUCUCUGGCAGCACAUAUAUUAAAAUUGGAAAGGUACAGAGAAAUUAGCAUGGCCUCUGUGCAAGGAUGGCAUGCAAAUUUGUGAAGUGUCCCCUAUUUAA
Phyllostomus hastatus (greater spear-nosed bat) is the source of this 106-nucleotide small nuclear RNA. Lineage: Eukaryota; Metazoa; Chordata; Mammalia; Chiroptera; Phyllostomidae. The record is from RefSeq and is a predicted model, not a curated record.